RNAcentral lists this ribosomal RNA (397 nucleotides) under uncultured marine eukaryote. RNAcentral describes it as "SSU rRNA". It matches the Rfam family "Eukaryotic small subunit ribosomal RNA", at positions 865 to 1262 of the family's 1831-position model. The record is from RNAcentral.
AUGAUUGAUAGGGACAGUUGGGGGCAUCAGUAUUCUGAAGCGAGAGGUGAAAUUCUUGGACCUUCGGAAGACUAACAACUGCGAAAGCAUUUGCCUAGGAUGUUCUCUUUAAUCAAGAACGAAGGUUGGGGGAUCGAAGACGAUCAGAUACCGUCGUAGUCUCAACUAUAAACUAUGCCAGCUAGGGAUGGGUUGAUGUUUAAAUACGACUCAAUCCGCACCUUAUGAGAAAUCAAAGCAUUUGGGUUCCGGGGGGAGUAUGGUCGCAAGGCUGAAACUUAAAGGAAUUGACGGGAGGGCACCACCAGGAGUGGAGCCUGUGGCUUAAUUUGACUCAACACGGGAAAACUUACCAGGUCCGGACAUAGCUAGGAUUGACAGAUUGAUAGCUCUUUCU